RNAcentral lists this long non-coding RNA (2487 nucleotides) under Homo sapiens (human). Its description in RNAcentral is "HSALNT0068873". Lineage: Eukaryota; Metazoa; Chordata; Mammalia; Primates; Hominidae. The record is from RNAcentral.
CGGAAUCAUGUACUUUCGCUGACCUGUGAGGCUGGCCCCAAAUCCAGUGUCUCAGGUGCACCUGGGUGGGCUGCAAACUUGAAGUCUCUGAGUGCUUCAGGAAAAUCCCACGAGAAAGGAAAAGGAGUUCCCAUACCUGCCUUCCUGACCAGAAAUCCCAAACUCACAGUCCAGACCCCAGACCUAGGGGGAUCCCCCCUCCCCUGCUGGAGACGCUGCUGGCCAGGCAUUUAGUCUGCAAAUACCCUGACAAGACAGGUCAUCAAUGUGAAAUUAUCACCAUCAGCAGGGCCAGGCGGCCUGGCCUCCCAUUAUGACCAAAUGAAUAACUCCGUUUAGAGAAGUCGUUUAGGGCGCUGCCCCAGACAAUGACUCCUGUCAAAAGAUUUACCGAAGCUCAGGGGCAAUGUGGCGGGGAGGCCCCGUGGGCCUGGCCUCACAGUUUAUCAGCUCAUGCAGAAAACAAAGAUUGCAGCGUGGACCAUUUCGCCGCUGAAAUUCAUGCCUUUUGACCCCAAAUGAAGAGAUAAUCCCGGGGCUUGUUUCCACUUGAGCUUGGAGAUAUUGUAAACAGCUGGCUCUGAAGCAGAACCUCACAUUGGCCUUGGGUGGAAAACAAGUCAUCAACCACACUGCUGGGGAAAGCGGUUCUUUACUUCAUUUUACUACACUCCCUUGGAAGCACCCCCCAGGAGAAUUCUAUUUUUAAAUUGAGUGCUUGGUAGAACUCUCGCUAAAGGAACAUGCUGGAGGAUGUGCUUCCUCCAAUCCCCUACUGAAGACUGUAAGCUUAAUCAUGAUGUAUUUUCUCCUUGGCUACCAGGAAGCUCAAAAGCCAAGAAAAGCUUAAGUCCGUCAGCAAGGCUGGUCCUUUAUAUUAUAACAUGUGCAUUAUCCUUUACUUUCCUGUUGUGGAUUCUAUUUAGGUUUAAUGAUGUUUGUUUAAGUGCUUCAUCGUGUAAACAGCUUCAUAUCCUUUGUUGAAAGAGGGAGGGCUGUGGGUAAAUGAUGGCGGGCUUCCAGGCAGGCAGAGUGGACAGCCAGAGGCAAUAACAGGAUUCGCCAAGGGACACCAGGUGGGAAGACCCAUGCAAAGGCAGCUUGGGAUGAUCCACUUGCCCAGCAUGAGAGGGGCACCUGGUUCUGCCCAGAAGCUCAGGAAAUACCACGUGAAUGCAUGAAUGUUGAAUGGAUAACUGAGCACUAAGCAAGUGGCCAGCAGACCCUGGACGCAGGCACCGUGCUCGGCCUCUGCUGCUUGGGGGUCCUCUCCUGACUUGUGAGGCCAGUCACCACCUCUCUCACAGUGAGAUGGGGAGAUGAAACCACAGCGGCGACCUGGCGUGUGCCCGGUGCAUGGCGCAGCCUAUGAGAGCUCCUCCACCUUCUCCUCCUUUCAGGGUGAGGUCAUGUUUGACCAGCUUAAGUCAGGUGACAGAUGCCAAGAAAGUGUGCAUGCUGCAAUUAGAAGCUGGAAUGUUACAAAGGAUGAUAACAGCAGCUCCAGAGCAUUUGCUGAACCCCAAGCGCUGUCCUAUGCAACCCGUGUGGACUAACCCCUGUGAUGCCCACACCCUCACAAGGUAGGAAUUCUCAUUGUCAUUUUACAGAUGACAAAAUGGAGGUGUGGCAACUUUAAAACCUGUCUACAAAUUCUUGGACCUUCUGGCAUCGAGAGGCAGGUCACAGACCACACACACACACACACACACACACACACACACACGCACACGUAUGCAUACGUUGAAGCUGGCUGGCUGCGAUUGUGACUCUUUUGUAGCCAAUAUCAUGGCAGUGAGGUUAGUUGAGAAAAUGUGGUGGUGCCAACAGUUCCGGUUUUUGUAGCCCAGGCACCAACCAUGUGAGCAAUGAGAUAAUCCCAGCCCCCAGGCAUUAAGUCCCCCAGAGCCCCCAGUCUUCCAAGCAGGGGUCCCCCAGACUGUGUGGAGCAGACAAGUCAUCCCCACUGGCUCCUUCCACAAAGAGGUUGUGGCUUUAUUUCUAAGUUUGAGGUGGCUUUACAUUGACAGGACAGAGAUUUGGUGUCUGGGCAAAUCCCAAGCAUUAACUCUGGUCCUGGGCAGUGGAUAGAAGCUAAAGGGGCCUUGAGAAGACUGCCAGUGAGGGCUUGAGGAAGACCAAGAAGAACGUCAUUGGAAACCAGAGAAAAAGGGAGGUCAGUAACCCAAAGGAGGCCAAUACUGCCAUAAGCUACAACGUGGAAAGCAGGAAAAGGGUACCUAAUUAACCCAGUGAUGUAGCAAGCUUCUUCUGUAAAGGGCCAAAUGGUAAAUAUUUUAGAUAUUGUGGAGAAGAUGGUCUCUGCUGAAACUCCUCAAGUCUAUAGUUGUAGCUCAAAAGCAGCCAUCAACAAUACACCAAUAAAUGGGCAUGGCUGCACUCCAAUAACCCUGUUUACAAAAACAGGCAGUAGGCUGGAUUGCUCACCCCUGAUCUAGCUAAGAUGUCCAGGAAAAUAUAUUGAAA